Molecule: transfer RNA, 65 nt
Filed under: Ixodes ricinus (castor bean tick)
Lineage: Eukaryota; Metazoa; Arthropoda; Arachnida; Ixodida; Ixodidae
Description: tRNA-Arg
Source: RNAcentral
AAAAAUAAAGCGAUAUUAAAAUUGCAAUCAGUUUCGACCUGAGUCUAGAUGAAUUCUAUUUUUUU